RNAcentral lists this ribosomal RNA (235 nucleotides) under uncultured bacterium. RNAcentral describes it as "partial 16S ribosomal RNA". It matches the Rfam family "Bacterial small subunit ribosomal RNA", at positions 96 to 334 of the family's 1533-position model. The record is from RNAcentral.
UGGCGGACGGGUGAGUAAUGUCUGGGAAACUGCCCGAUGGAGGGGGAUAACUACUGGAAACGGUAGCUAAUACCGCAUAACGUCGCAAGACCAAAGAGGGGGACCUUCGGGCUUCUUGCCAUCGGAUGUGCCCAGAUGGGAUUAGCUAGUAGGUGGGGUAACGGCUCACCUAGGCGACGAUCCCUAGCUGGUCUGAGAGGAUGACCAGCCACACUGGAACUGAGACACGGCCCAG